CAGCCGCCGCGGUAAUACCGGCAGCUCAAGUGAUGGCCACUAUUAUUGGGCNUAAAGCGUCCGUAGCCGGCUAGACAGGUCCGUCGGGAAAUCCACUCGCUCAACGAGUGGGCGUCCGGCGGAAACCAGCUAGCUUGGGACCGAGCGACNUGGGGACCGAGCGACCUGAGGGGUACGUCCGGGGUAGGAGUGAAAUCCCGUAAUCCCGGACGGACCAUCGGUGGCGAAAGCGCCUCAGGAGAGCGGAUCCGACGGUGAGGGACGAAAGCUAGGGUCUCGAACCGGAUUAGAUACCCGGGUAGUCCUAGCCGUAAACGAUGCUCGCUAGGUGUGGCGCUGGCUACGAGCCAGCGCUGUGCCGUAGGGAAGCCGUGAAGCGAGCCGCCUGGGAAGUACGUCCGCAAGGAUGAAACUUAAAGGAAUUGGCGGGGGAGCAC
This 437-nucleotide ribosomal RNA is filed under the name uncultured Halococcus sp. RNAcentral describes it as "bacterial SSU rRNA". It matches the Rfam family "Archaeal small subunit ribosomal RNA", at positions 459 to 879 of the family's 1478-position model. Lineage: Archaea; Methanobacteriati; Methanobacteriota; Halobacteria; Halobacteriales; Halococcaceae. The record is from RNAcentral.